AACGAACGCUGGCGGCAGGCUUAACACAUGCAAGUCGAGCGCCCCGCAAGGGGAGCGGCAGACGGGUGAGUAACGCGUGGGAAUCUACCGUGCCCUACGGAAUAACGCAUGGAAACGUGUGCUAAUACCGUAUACGCCCUACGGGGGAAAGAUUAUCGGGGUAUGAUGAGCCCGCGUUGGAUUAGCUAGUUGGUGGGGUAAAGGCCUACCAAGGGGACGAUCCAUAGCUGGUCUGAGAGGCUGAUCAGCCACAUUGGGACUGAGACACGGCCCAAACUCCUACGGGAGGCAGCAGUGGGGAAUAUUGGACAAUGGGCGCAAGCCUGAUCCAGCCAUGCCGCGUGAGUGAUGAAGGUCUUAGGAUUGUAAAGCUCUUUCACCGGUGAAGAUAAUGACGGUAACCGGAGAAGAAGCCCCGGCUAACUUCGUGCCAGCCGCCGCCGUAA
This 446-nucleotide ribosomal RNA is filed under the name uncultured bacterium. RNAcentral's name for it is "partial 16S ribosomal RNA". It matches the Rfam family "Bacterial small subunit ribosomal RNA", at positions 29 to 523 of the family's 1533-position model. The record is from RNAcentral.